RNAcentral lists this unclassified non-coding RNA (347 nucleotides) under soil metagenome. Its description in RNAcentral is "partial contains 5.8S ribosomal RNA, internal transcribed spacer 2, and large subunit ribosomal RNA". The stretch from base 1 to 120 matches the Rfam family "5.8S ribosomal RNA", at positions 35 to 154 of the family's 154-position model. The record is from RNAcentral.
GAUGAAGAACGCAGCGAAAUGCGAUAAGUAAUGUGAAUUGCAGAAUUCAGUGAAUCAUCGAGUCUUUGAACGCACAUUGCGCCCCCUGGUAUUCCGGGGGGCAUGCCUGUCCGAGCGUCAUUGCUGCCCUCAAGCACGGCUUGUGUGUUGGGCCGUUGUCCCCCUCCUAGGGGACGGGCCCGAAAGGCAGCGGCGGCACCGCGUCCGGUCCUCGAGCGUAUGGGGCUUCGUCACCCGCUCCGUAGGCCCGGCCGGCGCUUGCCGACGACCAUCAAUCUCUUUCUCCAGGUUGACCUCGGAUCAGGUAGGGAUACCCGCUGAACUUAAGCAUAUCAAUAAGCGGAGGA